This 1548-nucleotide ribosomal RNA is filed under the name Enterococcus faecium. Its description in RNAcentral is "bacterial SSU rRNA". It matches the Rfam family "Bacterial small subunit ribosomal RNA". Lineage: Bacteria; Bacillati; Bacillota; Bacilli; Lactobacillales; Enterococcaceae. The record is from RNAcentral.
AGAGUUUGAUCCUGGCUCAGGACGAACGCUGGCGGCGUGCCUAAUACAUGCAAGUCGAACGCUUCUUUUUCCACCGGAGCUUGCUCCACCGGAAAAAGAGGAGUGGCGAACGGGUGAGUAACACGUGGGUAACCUGCCCAUCAGAAGGGGAUAACACUUGGAAACAGGUGCUAAUACCGUAUAACAAUCGAAACCGCAUGGUUUUGAUUUGAAAGGCGCUUUCGGGUGUCGCUGAUGGAUGGACCCGCGGUGCAUUAGCUAGUUGGUGAGGUAACGGCUCACCAAGGCCACGAUGCAUAGCCGACCUGAGAGGGUGAUCGGCCACAUUGGGACUGAGACACGGCCCAAACUCCUACGGGAGGCAGCAGUAGGGAAUCUUCGGCAAUGGACGAAAGUCUGACCGAGCAACGCCGCGUGAGUGAAGAAGGUUUUCGGAUCGUAAAACUCUGUUGUUAGAGAAGAACAAGGAUGAGAGUAACUGUUCAUCCCUUGACGGUAUCUAACCAGAAAGCCACGGCUAACUACGUGCCAGCAGCCGCGGUAAUACGUAGGUGGCAAGCGUUGUCCGGAUUUAUUGGGCGUAAAGCGAGCGCAGGCGGUUUCUUAAGUCUGAUGUGAAAGCCCCCGGCUCAACCGGGGAGGGUCAUUGGAAACUGGGAGACUUGAGUGCAGAAGAGGAGAGUGGAAUUCCAUGUGUAGCGGUGAAAUGCGUAGAUAUAUGGAGGAACACCAGUGGCGAAGGCGGCUCUCUGGUCUGUAACUGACGCUGAGGCUCGAAAGCGUGGGGAGCAAACAGGAUUAGAUACCCUGGUAGUCCACGCCGUAAACGAUGAGUGCUAAGUGUUGGAGGGUUUCCGCCCUUCAGUGCUGCAGCUAACGCAUUAAGCACUCCGCCUGGGGAGUACGACCGCAAGGUUGAAACUCAAAGGAAUUGACGGGGGCCCGCACAAGCGGUGGAGCAUGUGGUUUAAUUCGAAGCAACGCGAAGAACCUUACCAGGUCUUGACAUCCUUUGACCACUCUAGAGAUAGAGCUUCCCCUUCGGGGGCAAAGUGACAGGUGGUGCAUGGUUGUCGUCAGCUCGUGUCGUGAGAUGUUGGGUUAAGUCCCGCAACGAGCGCAACCCUUAUUGUUAGUUGCCAUCAUUCAGUUGGGCACUCUAGCAAGACUGCCGGUGACAAACCGGAGGAAGGUGGGGAUGACGUCAAAUCAUCAUGCCCCUUAUGACCUGGGCUACACACGUGCUACAAUGGGAAGUACAACGAGUCGCGAAGUCGCGAGGCUAAGCUAAUCUCUUAAAGCUUCUCUCAGUUCGGAUUGCAGGCUGCAACUCGCCUGCAUGAAGCCGGAAUCGCUAGUAAUCGCGGAUCAGCACGCCGCGGUGAAUACGUUCCCGGGCCUUGUACACACCGCCCGUCACACCACGAGAGUUUGUAACACCCGAAGUCGGUGAGGUAACCUUUUGGAGCCAGUCGCCUAAGGUGGGAUAGAUGAUUGGGGUGAAGUCGUAACAAGGUAGCCGUAUCGGAAGGUGCGGCUGGAUCACCU